CGGCGGACGGGUGAGUAACACGUGGAUAACCUACCUAUAAGACUGGGAUAACUUCGGGAAACCGGAGCUAAUACCGGAUAAUAUAUUUAACCGCAUGGUUCAAUGGUGAAAGACGGUUUUGCUGUCACUUAUAGAUGGAUCCGCGCCGCAUUAGCUAGUUGGUAAGGUAACGGCUUACCAAGGCAACGAUGCGUAGCCGACCUGAGAGGGUGAUCGGCCACACUGGAACUGAGACACGGUCCAGACUCCUACGGGAGGCAGCAGAG
RNAcentral lists this ribosomal RNA (266 nucleotides) under uncultured Staphylococcus sp. RNAcentral describes it as "partial 16S ribosomal RNA". It matches the Rfam family "Bacterial small subunit ribosomal RNA", at positions 96 to 354 of the family's 1533-position model. Lineage: Bacteria; Bacillati; Bacillota; Bacilli; Caryophanales; Staphylococcaceae. The record is from RNAcentral.